RNAcentral lists this ribosomal RNA (465 nucleotides) under Vreelandella stevensii. RNAcentral describes it as "partial 16S ribosomal RNA". It matches the Rfam family "Bacterial small subunit ribosomal RNA", at positions 338 to 795 of the family's 1533-position model. Lineage: Bacteria; Pseudomonadati; Pseudomonadota; Gammaproteobacteria; Oceanospirillales; Halomonadaceae. The record is from RNAcentral.
CCUACGGGGUGCAGCAGUGGGGAAUAUUGGACAAUGGGCGAAAGCCUGAUCCAGCCAUGCCGCGUGUGUGAAGAAGGCCUUCGGGUUGUAAAGCACUUUCAGUGGGGAAGAAAGCCUUGGGGCUAAUACCCUCGAGGAAGGACAUCACCCACAGAAGAAGCACCGGCUAACUCCGUGCCAGCAGCCGCGGUAAUACGGAGGGUGCGAGCGUUAAUCGGAAUUACUGGGCGUAAAGCGCGCGUAGGCGGUCUGAUAAGCCGGUUGUGAAAGCCCCGGGCUCAACCUGGGAACGGCAUCCGGAGCUGUCAGGCUAGAGUGCAGGAGAGGAAGGUAGAAUUCCCGGUGUAGCGGUGAAAUGCGUAGAGAUCGGGAGGAAUACCAGUGGUGAAGGCGGCCUUCUGGACUGACACUGACGCUGAGGUGCGAAAGCGUGGGUAGCAAACAGGAUUAGAUACCCUAGUAGUC